UUUUUGGAGAGUUUGAUCCUGGCUCAGGACGAACGCUGGCGGCGUGCCUAAUACAUGCAAGUUGAGCGAAUCUGAUAGGAGCUUGCUCCUUCUCAGAUUAGCGGCGGACGGGUGAGUAACACGUGGGUAACCUGCCUGUAAGACUGGGAUAACUCCGGGAAACCGGGGCUAAUACCGGAUAACUUUUUUCUUCGCAUGAAGGAGAAUUGAAAGGUGGCUUUAAGCUACCACUUACAGAUGGACCCGCGGCGCAUUAGCUAGUUGGUGAGGUAACGGCUCACCAAGGCGACGAUGCGUAGCCGACUUGAGAGGGUGAUCGGCCACACUGGGACUGAGACACGGCCCAGACUCCUAC
RNAcentral lists this ribosomal RNA (355 nucleotides) under Heyndrickxia sporothermodurans. RNAcentral describes it as "bacterial SSU rRNA". It matches the Rfam family "Bacterial small subunit ribosomal RNA", at positions 1 to 342 of the family's 1533-position model. The record is from RNAcentral. Lineage: Bacteria; Bacillati; Bacillota; Bacilli; Caryophanales; Bacillaceae.